Molecule: non-coding RNA, 113 nt
Organism: Acanthosepion pharaonis
Lineage: Eukaryota; Metazoa; Mollusca; Cephalopoda; Sepiida; Sepiidae
Source: the annotation of a GenBank genome assembly
UACGGUCAAAUCACGCUGAAACACCGGUUCUCGUUCGAUCACCGAAGUUAAGCAUCGUAGAGCCAGGUCAGUACUUAGAUGGUGGACCGCUUGGGAACACCUGGUACUGUAAG